GAAACCCAGAACCAGACGCUGAAUCUGCUGGCGCCUUAAUCUUGGAUUUCCCAGCCUCCAGAACUAUUAACCCUGAGCUAACUGCUGCCAAUCCUCCUCUCUUUGCUGAGGAAGGCUGGCCCUGAGCUAACAUCCAUGCCCAUCUUCCUCUACUUUAUAUGCUGGAUGCCUACCACAGCAUGGCGUGCCAAGCGGUGCCAUGUCUGCACCUGGGAUCCGAACCAGUGAACCCCGGGCCGCCGAAGCGGAAGAGAAUCAGAGCUCCAUGAGGGAAUGGCAGAGUCCAAGGCUGGGGCAGGGAAGCACCAGACGAGCCAGGAACACAGAGCAUCUUGAUGUACCAGAAAGGAACCCGUAACCUGAAUCAAGUCAUGAGGAAGCACCAGGCAAGUCCCACCGAACGUUCUACAAAACAACUGGUUUAUGUUCUUCAAACAUGUGAAUGUAAUGCAAGACGAAGACGUAGUAAGGAACUGUUCCAGAUUAAAGAAGAUUAAAGACACAUGACAAUUUAAUGCGUAUGUGACCCCUGGUUGAAGCUUGUACUAGAGGGGAAAAACGCUAUAAGGAAUUUUAUUGGUAUAAUUGACAAAAUUGGAAUGUGGAUUGUAGAGCAGGGGCUGGCCCAAUGACGUAUUGGUUAAGUUCACACACUCCACUUCAGUGGCCUGGGGUUCGAGGGUUCAGAUCCCGAGUGCGGGUUUUCACACUGCUCAUCACGCCAUGCUGUGGUGGCGUCCCACAUACAAAACAGAGGAAGCUAGGCACAGAUGUUAGCUCAGUGACAAUCUUCCUCAAGCAAAAAGAGGAAGAUUGGCAACAGAUGUUAGCUCAGGGCCAAUCUUCCCCACCAAAAAAAAAAAAAAUCUGGAUCGCAGAAAAAAGCAUAUAUCAAGGUUAAGUGUUCUGAUUUGAUAACUAUUUUGUGGUUAUGCAAGAAAAUAUACUUGUUUCUGGAACUAUAUAAUGAAGUAUUAAGAGUAUAAUAAAGACAUGAUCUAUAUAACCUCAAAUUGUUCAGAAAAAAUAAACAAUUACAGAGGGAAAGAAAGAGAGAGAUAAUCAAAUAAAUGUGAUAAAAUGUAAAAAAAAAGAUUAUUCUGGAUAAAGGCUAUAUGAGAGUUCUCUGUAAUUUUGGCAACAUUUCUUUACAU
RNAcentral lists this long non-coding RNA (1154 nucleotides) under Equus asinus (donkey). RNAcentral's name for it is "lncRNA (ENSEASG00005030113.1)". The record is from RNAcentral. Lineage: Eukaryota; Metazoa; Chordata; Mammalia; Perissodactyla; Equidae.